RNAcentral lists this ribosomal RNA (922 nucleotides) under Neocoleroa metrosideri. RNAcentral describes it as "eukaryotic LSU rRNA". It matches the Rfam family "Eukaryotic large subunit ribosomal RNA", at positions 34 to 978 of the family's 3401-position model. The record is from RNAcentral. Lineage: Eukaryota; Fungi; Ascomycota; Dothideomycetes; Venturiales; Sympoventuriaceae.
UUAAGCAUAUCAAUAAGCGGAGGAAAAGAAACCAACCGGGAUUGCCUCAGUAACGGCGAGUGAAGCGGCAACAGCUCAAAUUUGAAAUCCGGCGUCUUCGGCGUCCGAGUUGUAAUUUGCAGAGGGUGUCUCGGGUGGAGCGUCGGUCCAAGUCCCUUGGAACAGGAUGCCAGAGAGGGUGAGAGUCCCGUAUCCGGCCGAUCGCGUCCCCUAUGUGAGACCCCUUCGACGAGUCGAGUUGUUUGGGAAUGCAGCUCUAAAUGGGUGGUAAAUUCCAUCUAAAGCUAAAUACCGGCCAGAGACCGAUAGCGCACAAGUAGAGUGAUCGAAAGAUGAAAAGCACUUUGAAAAGAGAGUGAAACAGUACGUGAAAUUGUUGAAAGGGAAGCGUAUACGGCCAGACUUGCCCGCGGAUGCUCAGCCCGUCUUCUGGCGGGUGCACUCUUCCGCGGUCAGGCCAGCAUCGGUUUGGGCGGUCGGAUAAAGGCGCUGGGAAUGUGGCCUCCCUCGGGAGGUGUUAUAGCCCGGCGUGCAAUGCGGCCAGCCCGGACCGAGGCUCGCGUUCUGCUAGGAUGCUGGCAUAAUGGCCUUAUACGGCCCGUCUUGAAACACGGACCAAGGAGUCUAACAUCUAUGCGAGUGUUUGGGUGUCAAGCCCGGACGCGUAAUGAAAGUGAACGGAGGUGAGAGCUUUUUGCGCAUCAUCGACCGAUCCUGAUGUCUUCGGAAGGAUUUGAGUAAGAGCAUAGCUGUUGGGACCCGAAAGAUGGUGAACUAUGCGUGAAUAGGGUGAAGCCAGAGGAAACUCUGGUGGAGGCUCGCAGCGGUUCUGACGUGCAAAUCGAUCGUCAAAUUUGCGUAUAGGGGCGAAAGACUAAUCGAACCAUCUAGUAGCUGGUUCCUGCCGAAGUUUCCCUCAGGA